Molecule: unclassified non-coding RNA, 433 nt
Filed under: uncultured Russula
Lineage: Eukaryota; Fungi; Basidiomycota; Agaricomycetes; Russulales; Russulaceae
Description: sequence contains ITS2
Rfam family: 5.8S ribosomal RNA (bases 1-154)
Source: RNAcentral
AACUUUUGGCAAUAGAUCUCUUGGCUCUCGCAUCGAUGAAGAACGCAGCGAAAUGCGAUACGUAAUGUGAAUUGCAGAAUUCAGUGAAUCAUCGAAUCUUUGAACGCACCUUGCGCCCCUUGGAAUUCCGAGGGGCACACCCGUUUGAGUGUCGUGAACAUCCUUCAACCUUUCUUGGUUUCUUAACCGGGGAAGGCUUGGACUUUGGGGGUCUUUCAUUGCUGGCCUCUUUGAAGCCAGCUCCUCCUAAAUGGAUUAGUGUGGUCUGCUUUGCCGAUCCUUGACGUGAUAAGAUGUUUCUACGUCUUGGGUUUCGCACUGUCGCUUUAGACCCCGCUUCUAACCGUCUUGCAUUCAAGACAGAGUUUUAAACCUUGACCUCAAAUCGGGUGAGACUACCCGCUGAACUUAAGCAUAUCAAUAAGCGGAGGCU